UACGUAGGGUGCAAGCGUUGUCCGGAAUUAUUGGGCGUAAAGAGCUCGUAGGCGGUUUGUCGCGUCUGCUGUGAAAACCCGAGGCUCAACCUCGGGCCUGCAGUGGGUACGGGCAGACUAGAGUGCGGUAGGGGAGAUUGGAAUUCCUGGUGUAGCGGUGGAAUGCGCAGAUAUCAGGAAGAACACCGAUGGCGAAGGCAGGUCUCUGGGCAUUAACUGACGCUGAGGAGCGAAAGCAUGGGGAGCGAACAGG
RNAcentral lists this ribosomal RNA (253 nucleotides) under uncultured bacterium. RNAcentral's name for it is "partial 16S ribosomal RNA". It matches the Rfam family "Bacterial small subunit ribosomal RNA", at positions 524 to 776 of the family's 1533-position model. The record is from RNAcentral.